AUGGCAAGUAACAGAGACGAUCCUCUCACAUUUAUAAACCCAUCGUCCUCUCCAAUCACAGUCUCUUCAGCAGAGGGAGAUAGCUUUCUCUUAGAACCCGCUUCCCAAAUCGGGAGCGCUUCUGGAAGCUUUCAGAACGAGGGUUUGCUCUCCGGCGGCGACGGCACCAGCGACGCUGAGUUCGGUUUCUCCCGCCCCGAUUUCCGCCAGAGUCCACUCGCCGGCACCGUCCAGUUGUACGACCGCCAUGUGUUCCUCUGCUACAAGCACCCUCAGGUCUGGCCUCCCAGGAUUGAGGCUGCAGAGUUCGAUCGCCUUCCGAGACUUCUCUCCGCUGCUCUCAUGGCCAGGAAGAGUGAGAUGAAGAAACAGACCCGCUUAACAAUAUGUGAAGGACAUGAUGGAACUGAGACAUCAAAUGGAGAUGUAUUAAUAUUUCCAGACAUGAUCAGAUACAGGAGAUUGACGCAUUUUGAUGUUGACACAUUUGUUGAAGAAGUGCUCGUGAAGGAUGGUGAGUGGCAGCCUGUAACUCCUGAAAAACUAAUUGGGUCAUGCAUUUUUGUUUGUUCUCAUGGGUCACGGGAUCGCCGUUGUGGUGUAUGUGGACCCGCUGUUGUUGCUAGGUUCAAAGAAGAGAUAGAAUCGCAUGGCCUUCAAGGUAAAGUGUCUGUGAGCCCAUGCUCACACAUUGGAGGCCAUAAAUAUGCAGGAAAUGUGAUCAUAUUUGGAUCAAAUAUUGAUGGAAAAGUCAGUGGGCACUGGUAUGGGUAUGUUACUCCAGAUGAUGUACCUAUUUUGCUUGAGCAGCAUAUUGAGAAGGGAGAAAUUGUCUAUGGACUGUGGAGGGGUCAGAUGGGUUUAUCCGAAGAAGAACAGACGAAAUCCCAAGAGCUAAGGGUCCAAUUAAAUGGUGGGACAGGUGAUGGAAAGCCCACAAAGGAGACUCUGCAAACACAAACAAAUGAAAUGGAUACUGCUGCAUGUGGAUCUCAAAUCGAGGUUAUGGCCUGCUGCCAAGAAAACGGAAACUCUUCCUGUUGCCAGAACCCUGUGUUGUCAGGAAAGAUGGAAAAACUAUUUGAGAGGGAGGCAAAAGUUACACCUGAAAAGAAGAAAAGUAGCAAAAUGACUAUUUCCAGGAGUAGUAGUAACAAAAGUGCUUGCACACGAAAAGUAUGUGCAAUGCCUACAUGGUUUGAGAGCUGGGAGCGUGAAGAUACAUAUGCUGCUCUUGCUGUUGUUUGUGCUGCAGUCUCAGUUGCCAUCGCCUGUCACUGCUACAAACAGUUGACGUAAAAACUUCCAGUUGUGAACUGCAUGUUGUUCUAAAGUCUUUGAAUCCUUCCCCAUUCUGUCGCCGCUGUGUAUUGGUUAUCCUCGUCACUGCAUGCCAUAAUGCAUCUUUGGAAAGAGGGUAGAUGGAUUCUAAGUGGGGAAGGAGAUUCGCAUUUGUAAUAUUCCCACUUUUGAAUCAAUGCAUGGAAGAUUACCUGCUUCUCAACUCAACAAAGCCUUUGGCCUAGCCAUGGCAGCUCCAUUACAUAUUCACUUACGCCCUUCCAACACACUGAUGUGCAAAUUGGGCUGCCUAUGAUUAUCUUUUGUUGUGAAGAGAUUUUAAAGAGCAGCAUGACAAGGCAAAAUUACAUAAGACAUCAAGUGCCAAUUCUGGGCCAACCCUCUGUUCCAUUUCUCCCAUUCCCUUUGCAGUUAAAUAUUCUAGGGGAAGGAGAGGGUGUUGGUAGAUGUAGGAGAAAGGACCCAUUUUGAGGCCAAAUGCCCUUUUCUUCAAUGAUAUAUUUUGGUUGGACAAUACUUCUUUUAGUUGAUUUAUACAUGUGGGCACAGAAGUUUUGGCUGUUUGAAA
Vitis vinifera (wine grape) is the source of this 1870-nucleotide RNA transcript. RefSeq lists it as uncharacterized. NCBI's taxonomy places the organism in Eukaryota, Viridiplantae, Streptophyta, Magnoliopsida, Vitales, Vitaceae. The record is from RefSeq and is a predicted model, not a curated record. The transcript has 6 exons.